Molecule: non-coding RNA, 73 nt
Organism: Bos taurus (domestic cattle)
Lineage: Eukaryota; Metazoa; Chordata; Mammalia; Artiodactyla; Bovidae
Source: Rfam
UCCUUGAUAGCUCAGUUGGUAAAGAAUCUGCCUGCAACACAGGAGACCCCAGGUUUGAUUCCUGGGUCUGGAA